RNAcentral lists this ribosomal RNA (253 nucleotides) under uncultured bacterium. RNAcentral describes it as "partial 16S ribosomal RNA". It matches the Rfam family "Bacterial small subunit ribosomal RNA", at positions 524 to 776 of the family's 1533-position model. The record is from RNAcentral.
UACGUAGGGCGCAAGCGUUGUCCGGAAUCAUUGGGCGUAAAGAGCUCGUAGGUGGUCUGUUACGUCUGCUGUGAAAACCUAGGGCUUAACCCUGGGCCUGCAGUGGAUACGGGCAGACUAGAGGUAGGUAGGGGAGAAUGGGAUUCCCGGUGUAGCGGUGAAAUGCGCAGAUAUCGGGAGGAACACCGGUGGCGAAGGCGGUUCUCUGGGCCUUACCUGACACUGAGGAGCGAAAGCGUGGGGAGCGAACAGG